This 213-nucleotide ribosomal RNA is filed under the name uncultured bacterium. RNAcentral describes it as "partial 16S ribosomal RNA". It matches the Rfam family "Bacterial small subunit ribosomal RNA", at positions 524 to 744 of the family's 1533-position model. The record is from RNAcentral.
UACGAGGGGGCUAGCGUUGCUCGGAAUCACUGGGCGUAAAGGUGCGUAGGCGGUCUUAAGUCAGGGUGAAUCCUGGAGCUCAACUCCAGAACUGCCUUGAUACUGAAGAUCUUGAGUUCGGAGAGGUGAGUGAACUGCGAGUGUAGAGGUGAAAUUCGUAGAUAUUCGCAAAGAACACCAGUGGCGAAGGCGGACUCACUGGCCCCGAGUACU